This 72-nucleotide transfer RNA is filed under the name Heterocephalus glaber (naked mole-rat). It matches the Rfam family "tRNA". Rfam says of the family: Transfer RNA (tRNA) molecules are approximately 80 nucleotides in length. Lineage: Eukaryota; Metazoa; Chordata; Mammalia; Rodentia; Bathyergidae. The record is from Rfam by way of RNAcentral.
UGGGGUGUAGCUCAGUGGCAGAGCGCUUGCCUAGCAUGCAUGAGGCCCUGGGUUCUGUCUCCACUACCACAA